This 107-nucleotide small nuclear RNA is filed under the name Suricata suricatta (meerkat). The record is from RNAcentral. Lineage: Eukaryota; Metazoa; Chordata; Mammalia; Carnivora; Herpestidae.
GUGCUCACUUCGGCAGCACAUAUACUAAAAUUGGAACAAUACAGAGAAGGUUAGCAUGGUCCCUGCGCAAGGAUGACACGCAAAUUUGUGAAGCGUUCCAUAUUUUU